RNAcentral lists this ribosomal RNA (372 nucleotides) under uncultured organism. RNAcentral describes it as "bacterial SSU rRNA". It matches the Rfam family "Bacterial small subunit ribosomal RNA", at positions 526 to 897 of the family's 1533-position model. The record is from RNAcentral.
CGUAGGGUGCGAGCGUUAAUCGGAAUUACUGGGCGUAAAGCGUGCGCAGGCGGUUUUGUAAGACAGAUGUGAAAUCCCCGGGCUCAACCUGGGACCUGCAUUUGUGACUGCAAGGCUAGAGUACGGUAGAGGGGGAUGGAAUUCCGCGUGUAGCAGUGAAAUGCGUAGAUAUGCGGAGGAACACCGAUGGCGAAGGCAAUCCCCUGGACCUGUACUGACGCUCAUGCACGAAAGCGUGGGAGCAAACAGGAUUAGAUACCCUGGUAGUCCACGCCGUAAACGAUGCAUACUAGACGUAUGGGGUAUCGACCCCCUGUGCGUCGAAGCUAACGCGAUAAGUAUGCCGCCUGGGAAGUACGGCCGCAAGGCUAA